UGUGCGUAUGUCUCCAAUCGAUUUUGAACUCU
This 32-nucleotide small RNA is filed under the name Bombyx mori (domestic silkworm). RNAcentral's name for it is "ovarian small RNA-35905". The record is from RNAcentral. Lineage: Eukaryota; Metazoa; Arthropoda; Insecta; Lepidoptera; Bombycidae.